UAGGGUUUCUUUAAUUAACUAUGUAUAAUUAGAUGGGUUUAUAAUUUGAUCAAAUUAUGAUGGGUUUGCUCAUGAUUGAAGUAUAAUUAGAUGUAUUGGGCUCAAUUUAAGUUUCUUUAAGAAUUAGGUGAAGGGUUUUCUUUGGUUCGAGUGCAAUCUCUUCGCCAGGUCUUUGAAGCGAAAUUUGAAGAAUCCCUGAUGAUAUCUCUGAUUUUCGUUUUUGGUGUCAUUGGUGUGUUGCUUCAUUGAAGAUAUGUCUUUUAAGGUAUAUCACUUUUCUCUUUACUUCCCUGCUUUUCAGUUUUUCAAUUCUAAGUUCCGUAUAGAGUGGUAAAGUAAGCCCGAUUGGAGAUCUUUUAUAUGUUAUUUGGCCUUCAAUUGAUUUGGAGAUCUUUAUAGACAGACAUCACUUGAAAUUCAACCUGGUGAGUCCCCCUCAUUUGCAUUCGUUAGAUGCCCUGUGAUUCUCCUAAUUAAGGCUUUCUUACUUAUGAAAUCCGAAGGUAUUAUUACUUAUUAGAGUUUGCUUCUUCUUCGUCAUAAACUGAUGAUCAGGUAAACUGGAAUCAUCAUCUCUCUUAUAUCAUGUUCGUAGAAUGGAAUCAUCAUCUCUCUUAUAUCAUGUUCUUAUAUGCUUUUUUUCAUAUCUGUUUCCUAACAGACCGUGGAUCAUGGGUUCUCAUUAAUCUGUAGAUUGUUUAGUUAAAUGAUCAACGCAUUCAGGCUAAGUUUUAUUAGCUAUUGAUUUAUAUUUCGUAUUGUUUUUAUAUAUUGCAGGUGAUUAUACAUGGAUUAAUUCUUAGAUUUUGUUUGUUGUCAUGCUGUUUAAUUACCUAAUCUAUUUGAAUUAACGAGUUCUUUCAGUUUUCUUUCUUUUAAAAGAGUUCCCUGUAUUUGUGGGUGUAGGAUAGGCAUAGAAAGUGUGAGACAGAUCCAAAGUCUAAAAUUUUCUCUUGUAUUCUUUUAUGUAAUCUCUCCUGAUUUUUGCUCCACCGCAAAGGACCUUGAUUGACGAUGGAAGCCACGCAAAAUGGUUUGAUUACAGAAAAGAACCAUUUCAUAUAAUUGCAUCAUCCAUUGAGGAAGCAAAGUAAGAGGUUAUCAAUCAGUUAUACGUAAUACCACAGCCGAAAUCUUAUGAAGUUAAUCAAGUAUUGUAACUAUCUUCUAAUAAUUAUUGAACUGAAUUGAUAUUUUUCUAUGAGUUUGUUGAUCAGGAGGGUAACAUUAACAUAAUUGGUUCAGGUGCAAUUGAUGCGGCAAAAGAUGUUAUACUUACCCCAAUCUCUAUAGAUAUACCAUGGCAGCGACAAAUAUUCAAUGGUAGCAUUGACAGAUUUUUUAGGUAGCCAUGGCAUGGGUAGUGGAGUACUCCAUGAUUCCUUCUAUCUGUUGCAACUGUUGCAUCAGACCUCUGCAACAGUUUAUGUACCAAGAAACCUCUCUGGAAAGUAACAGUCUGUGGAUGAAGUUGUAACCAAGUUUGGGGGAUCACCAGUUGGAAAGCUUAAAAAAUCCAAGCAAUAAGGAGACUGCAGAUAUGUAGGUAUGUAACUACAUAGAACAAGAGCUUGAGAAUGUAACAGUAGAGCUUCCGAAGUAUAAAAAAGAGUCUGAGGGUGGCAGAUCCGAACGAAGAACCCAAUUAUAGUAGAGCUAAAUUACGAUCCUAGAGAGAACAGAGAUUGGAGAGUGCCAUGCGAAAAAGGUAUCAGAAAUAGUCAGGCUUAGAGUAGAAGCAAUGCAACGGGGGGUUGGUGAAGAGGUUAAGUCUGGUGUAGAUAUGUACCUUAUGGUUGGAAUAACAAGCAAUAGUUGGCAUAUAAAUGAUGAUGAGGAGGAAAUCCGAUAUCUGUAGAGAUCGAAAACUUGCAAAGACUUCAAGGAAACAAAUGCGUGCUCAUUUACAUCCCGAGGUCUCAACAGGCAUGUUUUCGUGGUUUUCAGGGACGAUUAAGCAAUCUUCCAAGAGUGUUUUGAUUCAAUAAAAGGUACAUUUUCUUACUUCCUCAUUCUGAAAUUUGUUAUGCAUUUGAUUGCAAGGAAACAUAAUUCUUUACACAAAAAAUUCAUGUUGUGUUCUUUACACAAUAUCCAUGUAAAUCUAAAAAGUGACAUGAAAGCCCUCAUUACGGAUGAAUUCCAUAACUGCUGCUAUUUGUGCUUCCAAUUAGAGAUGAUUCUGGAAUCAAAUAACCUUGCGCCUCAACAGAGAAAUAUUACUAGAAUACAUUGAUGGAUAUUGUGUGUGCUCAAAUAAUACAUGGUUUAUAUAGUUUAUUGAUAUCCAUCUAUACACUGAGUAGUGAUUAUGUUUCAAGUCAAGUCCAUGGCAUGGGUUUUUCGCUGGGUCAUGUCCUCACCACUACUUUUUUUGAACUUGGGUGUAACUAAGACUGCUAGACAGAUGGAAAACAAGAAGAAAAGCAAGAUGUGGUGACAAGAUGUGCCUCUGUAAGAAUGUUUAGUUGAAACAUGAUAUGGAGUUGGCAUUUUGCAAUAACCCUUUGGACAAUCCUUAUCCAACAUUGUACAAGCUAGCAGCUGACAAAUUUCACUAAUGAUGAGGUGGGUGAUCUUUGCACUUUUUUUUCAACUGAAUUUUCUCAAUCCCUCCUUCAGUCCUCUUUCUUUCGGCCACCAAUGGUUUUUAAGUGGAAAGACAAACAACAAACCCUUCUCACUGAAAUCAUGUCACGAGAAAGAAUAUUGCUCAUUGAUCUCGAGCCUAGCUACACUUUAAAGUGUGUCUGUUAUUCUUUUGUUUCCGUGAACAUACAUUCUUUCUAAUACAUCUUAGUUCAGUUAAGGCAUGGGUGUUUGUGAACUGAAAUUUGUACUCAGAACAACCCUGAAUACUCCCUUUGUCGAUGGUGUUGUGGUGAUGUGAGUUUUGCUUAAUUCAGGUCAUGCGUUUAU
Molecule: long non-coding RNA, 2919 nt
Organism: Papaver somniferum (opium poppy)
Lineage: Eukaryota; Viridiplantae; Streptophyta; Magnoliopsida; Ranunculales; Papaveraceae
Exons: 6
Source: RefSeq, a predicted model, not a curated record